This 672-nucleotide long non-coding RNA is filed under the name Salvia miltiorrhiza (redroot sage). RNAcentral describes it as "long non-coding RNA (SMIL_LNC012008)". Lineage: Eukaryota; Viridiplantae; Streptophyta; Magnoliopsida; Lamiales; Lamiaceae. The record is from RNAcentral.
CUACUUUCAUUCUUCUUCUACUUCAGUUUCUAGUUGUUAAGCGUGGGGGUUCUCAUGAUUCGCUGUUCUAAGGUGUAGAGUAUAACAAUGUAUGAAUCCUCGACUUGUUGAGAAAAGUUAUCGAUCAAGUAUGCAUAUGUGGUUCGCUAUAUCUUUCUGUAAUAUUUCUCAUCCUAUGUUUCGAAUUUCUUUUAUAUGAAGUGAGGGAAGUGAAAUGCAUAUAUGAAGAUAGUGAACUGAAAAUAGCAUGAAAUACCUUGAAUGGUUUUGUUGGUUGGUUAUUGUUUGAAUGAACUGAUUCUUGAAAAUGCUUUGGCAGAGAAUGAUGAAGAGCAGUGCAGUCUUUCCUCUUUUUGCUAGGAACGUUUGUGGAAUGGGAAUGAGGAGAUUAUGCUUGGUUGAUGUUCUGUAUGAAUGGUGAUUUUGCUUCGUUUAAAAUCCUUUGCAGCUGCUAAGGAUUUUAGGUAAGUGAGGAUGCCUUUUAUAGGGAGUAAAUACUGAAGCUGAUAGUGUGAAAAUAUGGUGAAUAGUGCGGCUAAAUUGAGGCGUGGUUGAAGAAUUUAAUUGAUGAGAUUUUCUGCUGACAAUUGAGAUUUGUCUGUUGAAUAUUUUCUUUGACUAUGUAGGAGUGAAAUAAAAACUAAGCACGGGUGAGAAUAGAGUGGCUGAGGU